UACGGGGGGAGCAAGCGUUGUUCGGAUUUACUGGGCGUAAAGGGCGCGUAGGCGGCCACGAAAGGUCAGUUGGGAAAUCUCUGGGCUUAACUCAGAACGGUCAACUGAUACUGUCGGGCUAGAGUGCAGAAGGGGCAACUGGAAUUCUCGGUGUAGCGGUGAAAUGCGUAGAUAUCGAGAGGAACACCUGCGGCGAAGGCGGGUUGCUGGGCUGACACUGACGCUGAGGCGCGAAAGCUAGGGGAGCGAACGGG
RNAcentral lists this ribosomal RNA (254 nucleotides) under uncultured bacterium. RNAcentral describes it as "partial 16S ribosomal RNA". It matches the Rfam family "Bacterial small subunit ribosomal RNA", at positions 524 to 776 of the family's 1533-position model. The record is from RNAcentral.